UAUUGCUUACAUCUUCAGGAGCCAGAGA
RNAcentral lists this non-coding RNA (28 nucleotides) under Mus musculus (house mouse). Lineage: Eukaryota; Metazoa; Chordata; Mammalia; Rodentia; Muridae. The record is from RNAcentral.